Molecule: non-coding RNA, 85 nt
Filed under: Paenibacillus mucilaginosus
Lineage: Bacteria; Bacillati; Bacillota; Bacilli; Caryophanales; Paenibacillaceae
Also listed under: 1 other name
Description: c-di-GMP sequence
Rfam family: c-di-GMP-I-GGC riboswitch aptamer
Source: RNAcentral
AUCGAAAAAGGCAAACCAUGCGAAAGCAUGGGACGCAAAGCCACGGGUCUACAGCGUUAUGCGCAUGACAGCCGGGCUGCUGCAG